Molecule: ribosomal RNA, 427 nt
Filed under: uncultured Comamonadaceae bacterium
Lineage: Bacteria; Pseudomonadati; Pseudomonadota; Betaproteobacteria; Burkholderiales; Comamonadaceae
Description: bacterial SSU rRNA
Rfam family: Bacterial small subunit ribosomal RNA
Source: RNAcentral
UGGGGAAUUUUGGACAAUGGGCGAAAGCCUGAUCCAGCAAUGCCGCGUGCAGGAUGAAGGCCUUCGGGUUGUAAACUGCUUUUGUACGGAACGAAACGGUCUUUUCUAAUACAGAAGGCUAAUGACGGUACCGUAAGAAUAAGCACCGGCUAACUACGUGCCAGCAGCCGCGGUAAUACGUAGGGUGCAAGCGUUAAUCGGAAUUACUGGGCGUAAAGCGUGCGCAGGCGGUUAUGUAAGACAGUUGUGAAAUCCCCGGGCUCAACCUGGGAAUUGCAUCUGUGACUGCAUAGCUAGAGUACGGUAGAGGGGGAUGGAAUUCCGCGUGUAGCAGUGAAAUGCGUAGAUAUGCGGAGGAACACCGAUGGCGAAGGCAAUCCCCUGGACCUGUACUGACGCUCAUGCACGAAAGCGUGGGGAGCAAACA